This 1359-nucleotide ribosomal RNA is filed under the name uncultured bacterium. RNAcentral describes it as "partial 16S ribosomal RNA". It matches the Rfam family "Bacterial small subunit ribosomal RNA". The record is from RNAcentral.
UUGAUCCUGGCUCAGGACGACCUUUGGGGGCGUGCCUAACACAUGCAAGUCACGGGGGCCCGCAAGGGUAACCGGCGAACGGGAGCGUAACACGUGAGCAAUCUGCCGUCCACUGGGGGAUAGCCGGCCCAACGGCCGGGUAAUACCGCAUACGCUUGCCGGGUGGCAUCACUUGGCAAGGAAACCUCCGGGGGUGGACGAGGAGCUCGCGGCCUAUCAGCUAGUUGGUGGGGUCACGGCCCACCAAGGCGAUGACGGGUAGCUGGUCUGAGAGGAUGGCCAGCCACACUGGGACUGAGACACGGCCCACACUCCUACGGGAGGCAGCAGUGGGGAAUAUUGGACAAUGGGCGAAAGCCUGAUCCAGCAAUGCCGCGUGAGUGAUGAAGGCCUUAGGGUUGUAAAGCUCUUUUACCCGGGAUGAUAAUGACAGUACCGGGAGAAUAAGCUCCGGCUAACUUCGUGCCAGCAGCCGCGGUAAUACGAGGGGAGCUAGCGUUAUUCAGAAUUACUGGGCGUAAAGCGCACGUAGGCGGCUUUGUAAGUUAGAGGUGAAAGCCCGGGGCUCAACUCCGGAAUUGCCUUUAAGACUGCAUCGCUUGAAUCCAGGAGAGGUGAGUGGAAUUCCGAGUGUAGAGGGGGGAAAUUCUUAAUUAUUCGGAAGAACACCAGUGGCGAAAGGGGGCUCACUGGAUUGGUAUUGACGGUGAGGUGGGAAAGGGGGGGGAGCAAACAGGAUUAGAUACCCUUGUUAGUCCACCCCGAAAACGAUGAUAACUAGCUGUCCGGCCACUGGUGCUUGGGUGGCGCAGCUAACGCAUUAAGUUAUCCGCCUGGGGAGUACGGUCGCAAGAUUAAAACUCAAAGGAAUUGGCGGGGGCCUGCACAAGCGGUGGAGCAUGUGGUUUAAUUCGAAGCAACGCGCAGAACCUUACCAGCGUUUGACAUGUCCGGACGAUUUCCAGAGAUGGAUUUCUUCCCUUCGGGGACUGGAACACAGGUGCUGCAUGGCUGUCGUCAGCUCGUGUCGUGAGAUGUUGGGUUAAGUCCCGCAACGAGCGCAACCCUCGCCUUUAGUUACCAUCAUUUAGUUGGGUACUCUAAAGGAACCGCCGGUGAUAAGCCGGAGGAAGGUGGGGAUGACGUCAAGUCCUCAUGGCCCUUACGCGCUGGGCUACACACGUGCUACAAUGGCAACUACAGUGGGCAGCAAUCCCGCGAGGGUGAGCUAAUCUCCAAAAGUUGUCUCAGUUCGGAUUGUUCUCUGCAACUCGAGAGCAUGAAGGCGGAAUCGCUAGUAAUCGCGGAUCAGCAUGCCGCGGUGAAUACGUUCCCAGGCCUUGCACUCAACGCCCGUCA